AAGUUGGCAUGAGAGCGUACCUGAGUACCGCGGAGCAGGUGGAAUUCUGCGGGAACCAGCCGGAACCAUCCGGUAAGACUAAAUACUCCUGUGUGACCGAUAGUGAACCAGUACCGUGAGGGAAAGGUGAAAAGAACCCUUAAGAAGGGAGUGAAAAGAAUCUGAAACCAAUUGCUUACAAACGGUCGGAGCGGAUUUAUUCCGUGACGGCGUGCCUUUUGCUUAAUGAGCCAACGAGUUGCUCGUCACGUGCAAGGGUAAGAUUCUUAAGAAUCGCACCCGUAGCGAAAGCAAGUCUGAAAAGGGCGGCUAGUGCGUGGCGGCAGACGCGAAACCGUGUGAUCUAUCCAUGGUCAGGAUGAAGUAUCGGUAACACGAUAUGGAGGUCCGAACUGGUGCGGGUUGAAAACUGCUCGGAUGAACUGUGGAUGGGGGUGAAAG
Molecule: ribosomal RNA, 441 nt
Filed under: uncultured bacterium
Lineage: Bacteria
Description: bacterial LSU rRNA
Rfam family: Bacterial large subunit ribosomal RNA
Source: RNAcentral